RNAcentral lists this long non-coding RNA (1278 nucleotides) under Gossypium barbadense (sea-island cotton). RNAcentral's name for it is "long non-coding RNA (GBAR_LNC001419)". The record is from RNAcentral. Lineage: Eukaryota; Viridiplantae; Streptophyta; Magnoliopsida; Malvales; Malvaceae.
UUGGGAUUAAUUCUAUUGUUGGUGCCAUGAACAACAAUAACCUUUUUUGACACUAAUGCCGGUAAUAAAUUGAACUCUUUUUUUUUUUUUGGAUUUAUCAGUUUGGUUUUUAUCUUGUUUAUUAUAUUUUCUUCAAUUCGUCUCCUCUAAUUGAAAAAUAAAUUACAUGUUUUUAUCAUGUUACAUUUUGUUCUUUUUGCUUCUUUUUGCUCCUUUGUUGGUUAAUUUUACAGUUGAAUUGAUCAUUCUUUUUUGGUUCAUUUAGGAGUCCCGACUACUUGUGUCGCUGGCUCCUCUUUGUGGGCAAAUCUCCCCUCGGAGAAUGGUGUUCUCUUCACUCAAGGCAAUCCUGGUAAUAAAUCAAGUUUUUUGCAUUUAUCAUUUUGAUGAUUCAUUUUGUACUUUCAAAUAUUCAUUCAUUGAUUAUUUUCCCUGAAUUUCAACUUUGUAAAAAUUUAGAGGCGACAACUUAUCCCUUUGAAUGUAAUGUGCUUGAUUAUGUUGUAAGAUAUAUUUAAUUAUUUAAUUAUUAAUUUUAUAAUUGUUGAGUGCUCGAAUAUGUUGUAAGAUAUAUAUUUUUAUAAAUUAAUAAAUAUGAAUUAAAACACUAUAUUUUUAAAUAUGUCAAUCCGCAUAACAAUCUACAAUUUAAGAGUUGGGGUAUUGUUGGCUCUUGUGCUAAUAUGACCUUGUUUGAAUACAAUGCUAUGAACAAUAGUAACCUUUUCAGCACUAAUAGUAAUAAACUUGGUUUUUUUUUUAUCGGUUUAGUUUUUAUCUUGUUUAUUAUAUUUUCUUUAAUUCGUCCCUUCUAAUUGAAAAAUAAAUUACAUGUUUUUAUCAUGUUACAUUUUGUUGUUUUUGCUCCUUUGUUGGUUAAUUUUAUCAUUAAAUUGAUCAUUCUUUCUUUUUCUUUUCUUUUUUUUUGUUAAUUUAGGAGUCCCGACUACGUAUGCUACUGGCUCCUCUUUGUGGGCACAUCUCCCAUUGGAGAAUGAUGUUCUUUUUACUCAGGGCCAUCCUGGUAAUAAAUCAAGUUUUUUGCAUUUAUCAUUUUGAUGAUUCUUUUUGUGCUUUCAAAUAUUCAUCCCUUGAUUAUUUUCUCUUGUUAAUUUGGAAUUUCAGCUUUGUGAAAAUCUGAAGACUACAACUUGUCUUAUUUAAUGUAGUGUGUUUGGUUAUGUUGUAAGAUAUGUUUAAUUAUUUAAUUAUCAAUUUUCUAAUUGUUGAGUGCUCAAAUAUGUUGUAAGAUAUAUAUUUUUAUAAAUUAAUAAAUAU